This 498-nucleotide unclassified non-coding RNA is filed under the name uncultured Glomus. Its description in RNAcentral is "SSU rRNA". It matches the Rfam family "Eukaryotic small subunit ribosomal RNA", at positions 591 to 1092 of the family's 1831-position model. The record is from RNAcentral. Lineage: Eukaryota; Fungi; Glomeromycota; Glomeromycetes; Glomerales; Glomeraceae.
CCAAUAGCGUAUAUUAAAGUUGUUGCAGUUAAAAAGCUCGUAGUUGAAUUUCGAGAUCGGCUUACUGGUCGUGCUUUUGUACGUACUGGUAAAUCGGUUUCUCCUUUCUGACGAACUUUAAUGCCAUUAAUUUGGUGUUUUAGGGAAUCAGGACUGUUACUUUGAAAAAAUUAGAGUGUUUAAAGCAGGCUCACGCUUGAAUACAUUAGCAUGGAAUAACGGAAUAGGACGUUUGAUUUUAUUUUGUUGGUUUCUAGGAUCGACGUAAUGAUUAAUAGGGAUAGUUGGGGGCAUUAGUAUUCAAUUGUCAGAGGUGAAAUUCUUGGAUUUAUUGAAGACUAACUACUGCGAAAGCAUUUGCCAAGGAUGUUUUCAUUAAUCAAGAACGAAAGUUAGGGGAUCGAAGACGAUCAGAUACCGUCGUAGUCUUAACCAAAAACUAUGCCGACUAGGGAUCGGAUGAUGUUAAUUUUUUAAUGACUCAUUCGGCGCCUUACG